GCAUUCUCAUCCAGUCCAUUAAAGUGAUCUUUACCUUCAAAAUAUAAAAAAACUUGCUAAAAACCCACUCCAACCUAUCCACUAUAUCUAGACCUUAACCUUAAAUAUUAAAAAAAAAGCCACAGUAACUUUUUAUACAUAAAAAGCUACUGUAGCUCUCUAUUUCCAACAACCACAUCUCAUUUCAUCUUCUCCCGCCCCUCUCCUUUACACAUCGAUUACCAGCAACAAAUUCAACCAAACUACUGCACUUGCAAGGUUCGGAUUUGAGGGUUUCUAUUUGAAAACACUUCCGAUUUGUAAACAUUGGCGAUGAUACGGCUUCGGUCACACACAAAAACACACACUUGCUCGGUCCAGUCUACUCAUCAUCAGUCAUCGCAAGUAAUCGAGAGAUCCAAACACUUCGAAUAAGAUCCACACUUGUCGCAUUUCUAUUUCACCUGCCGCGGACCUUGAAUAUGUUCUGAAUUCCGUGAAGAAAGGUGCUGAAGUUGAAUUGUAAUGCAGGUGACGAGCUUGAACUUUCGGAAGCUAUUAGAGAUUAUCAUGAUAGUACUGGAUUGCCUCAUAUGGUGUAAACGAUGAUGACCUCCGUGAAACGGCUUAUGAAAUUCUGUUGGCUGCUGCUGGGGCUUCAUGGGGCCUUAUAGUGCCAUCAAAGGAAA
Long non-coding RNA from Helianthus annuus (common sunflower), 668 nucleotides. RefSeq lists it as uncharacterized. Lineage: Eukaryota; Viridiplantae; Streptophyta; Magnoliopsida; Asterales; Asteraceae. The record is from RefSeq and is a predicted model, not a curated record. The transcript has 4 exons.